Long non-coding RNA from Papilio polytes (common Mormon), 1096 nucleotides. RefSeq lists it as uncharacterized. Lineage: Eukaryota; Metazoa; Arthropoda; Insecta; Lepidoptera; Papilionidae. The transcript is spliced from 2 exons. The record is from RefSeq and is a predicted model, not a curated record.
CCGCGCCGCCCUCGCGAGCCCCUGCUCGUGCCGCUCGCGCCGCCGCCCUAGCAUAUGCAGAAUCCAACGCUCAAGAAUGGAUAAUCAGUCAAUGUGGUCUACGGAACCCACCAAUAGUGCAAUUAUUGUUUGUAAUGGAACAUUACUUUAUGUUAAAUAUCUAACCUCAAUGUACUAUAUGUUCAAAUAAACUUGAUUUUUUUUGUUAAUAAACAAAGUUUGUAAAACUUUGGUCGUAUUUAAGUUAUUUGUAAUGAUUGUAGUCAAUUCUUGUUCAAGAUGUAAAUAUAUUUUUAGGAUACAAAAUCGAAAUAUUAGUGUUUCACACAAAAUAAACGCCAUUAAAAUCUAAAAUGCCAGGUAUUAAGUAGACGAGGUUAUUUUGUUUUACUUGCAGUUUACAUGAAACAUUUUUUUAUCUGUUUUGGGCAUUGUGAACGCACGGUUAUGCCUAGCUUACGAAAAUCCAGUCCAGCGAUCGAAACCAACGCUGGAUUGCAAUUGGAACAAUGUAGAACUACACUGGAAUGCAUUGAGUGGGUUUACAUGUUUCCAGUUGUAAUCCAACGAAUAUGAUCGCUAGACUGGAUUCAUGUAAACCGGACAUUACAAAUCGUUUAUAGGUAAUAAGUCUUAAUAUGAGGAAAACAAGGUUUAUGCAUAUUUAUGUCUGUACAAUGGAGAAAAUAUAGUUAGAAGAUAUUGAAUAGGUUUAUUGCUAGUCAAUUAACAGAAUUCAUGAUUACUUUGCUUUUAAUAUAGAGUAAAAUACUUAGGAGCUUAUAAGACUGCAUUUUUAAAAAGUAAAAAGCAGAUUUUUUUUAAAUGUAAACAAUUUUUAUUUUCCGUUCGAAUAUUAAUCUUGAAAUGUACUAAAUUUAUGUUUAUUUUUAUUAUAAAAUAUUACGUUUUUUCCAAAAUUUAUCGUGAUUAAAAAAAUCGAUGUAUUUAAAAAUUUUAAAAUGAAACUGUCUUUAUAUUUGUAAGCAAAAUGUAAUGCUACCUUGUUUUUCUUACCGAGAAAAUGUCAUGUAUAGUAGAUAUUAACUAUUGUGUAACAGCCACUUGUAAAUUUUGAUAAUUUAAUGUAAAGGAA